RNAcentral lists this ribosomal RNA (252 nucleotides) under uncultured bacterium. RNAcentral's name for it is "partial 16S ribosomal RNA". It matches the Rfam family "Bacterial small subunit ribosomal RNA", at positions 524 to 775 of the family's 1533-position model. The record is from RNAcentral.
UACGUAGGGUGCAGGCGUUAAUCGGAAUUACUGGGCGUAAAGCGUGCGCAGGCGGUCUGCUAAGAGAGAUGUGAAAUCCCCGGGCUUAACCUGGGAACUGCGUUUCUAACUGGCAGGCUUGAGUGUGGCAGAGGGGGGUGGAAUUCCACGUGUAGCAGUGAAAUGCGUAGAGAUGUGGAGGAACACCGAUGGCGAAGGCAGCCCCCUGGGCUAACACUGACGCUCAUGCACGAAAGCGUGGGGAGCAACAGG